GACGAACGCUGGCGGCGUGCCUAACACAUGCAAGUCAACUUGACUGAAGGAGCAAUCUGACAGUAGAGUGGCGCAAGGGUGCGUAACGCGUAAGUAACUUGCCCAAGGUAAGGAAUAACGUCGAGAAAUCGGUGCUAAUACCUCAUAAUGCAGCGGAUCCGCAUGGAUAUGUUGUUAAAGGUUUACCGCCUUGGGAUAGGCUUGCGUCUGAUUAGUUAGUUGGUGUGGUAACGGCACACCAAGGCUACGAUCAGUAACUGGUCUGAGAGGAUGAUCAGUCACACUGGAACUGAGACACGGUCCAGACUCCUACGGGAGGCAGCAGUGAGGAAUAUUGGGCAAUGCUCGAAAGAGUGACCCAGCAACGCCGCGUGGAGGAUGAAGGUAUUCUAUAUCGUAAACUCCUGUGAGAGCAGACGAAAGACAGAUUAUUAAUCUGGAUGACUGUAUGCUCAGAGGAAGCCCCGGCUAACUACGUG
RNAcentral lists this ribosomal RNA (479 nucleotides) under uncultured bacterium. Its description in RNAcentral is "bacterial SSU rRNA". It matches the Rfam family "Bacterial small subunit ribosomal RNA", at positions 28 to 507 of the family's 1533-position model. The record is from RNAcentral.